This is a non-coding RNA of Rattus norvegicus (Norway rat), 3431 nucleotides long. The record is from RefSeq and is a predicted model, not a curated record. Lineage: Eukaryota; Metazoa; Chordata; Mammalia; Rodentia; Muridae.
AAUGGGGUUUACCGAAGCUGUGACUUACAUUGGUGUUAUGGAACAUUAAGAGGCCAACUCCUGUAGCCCGGAAGGACACCAGUGGAGGGAUAAAGACACAAAUACAACUACAAAACUUUCUAGGCAAAAUUUUUCAAGCCUAAAAGAAAUUUAGAACCGUAUUCUAGGGUCUACGUUCUCCUUUGCUUUAUUGAUGGCUGGUAAUUUUUGUAUAAAAUAAGGAUUUGGGACAUUAUCAUUAGAAGUAGGUAUACAAUAUUUAUAUUGUUAUAUUCACGCUUUAGCUGGGCCCACUUUGUUGCCAAUAUCAUUACAAAAAUAUAAAAUUAUAAUUAAUAAUUUUUAUAAUUAUAAUUUUAUAAUUAUAAUUAUAAAAUUAGAAAACAGAAUUUUUGAGUACACAUUCAGGAAUAUAUAUAAAGUCCUCUUUCAAAGAAUGUACAAUAAGAAAAUGUAAUACAAUAUUCAUUCAAUUUAACGUCUGGAGGGAAAAUAUUGGACUUUAGGAAACAGAGAAAACCUAGGAACUUGAAUUGUAUGUCACAGGAAUGGACGUGGAAGUGAAAUUAUUAUCCAGAAUAUUCUCCUCCACACCAUGUUCCUAGAUCUUUUUUACCCAUGCCAAGCCCCUGACCAACAUUCUCUAUUCCGAACAUGUAAGUACUAAUGAAGCAAAGAGAAGUCUCUAGCUUUAAAGAUAUAUAAUAUGUAAAGGUUUCCAGUAUGUCACAGGAGACACUCUUGGAAAGGGCACCCUCAAAUCUGGUCCAUGGGAAAGUUCAGUGAGUCUUGGGUACGUAUUGAGUGGGAUUGCAGAAGUAGUAGCCUUUAUCUGAGCCUUCCACACAUGGGAAUCAGGUGCUGCGAUCUUCUUAGAAUCAUCUGGACUUCCCUGCUUGAUAUGGUUCCUGGAAGUCAGAGCGUUUAUGUAAUCAAUUUCUUCAAUACAAAAGCCAGUUGUUGGGAAGGGCACAUUUGUUCUUCUCAGAGCUCGUGGCUUUUACUCUUUUUGCUCUGAAGAAAAAGGUUCAAAGAAACAAAGGAAAGAAAAGUAUGGUCUCCUCAGCAGUGUAAACACCUCCAUGCUUUGGAUUCCUAUUGUGUAAUUUGUUUAUAACACUGAUAUCUGGAGGAGAAGAGCUUCUAGUUGAGACUUCAUCAUCUCAGUCUUUCCACUAGUAUUACUCUGAAUACCAUUCUCUGACAGUGACUCUUUAGAUUUCUGAGUCAAUAGGUUUGAUUAGCUGGCAGAUUUCUUUUCUUUCUUUCAUUGUUUUUAUUUUUUAUAAAAUUUUAUUGCUUUUUUAACUGGAUAUUUCUACAUUUGAAUUUCAAAUGUUAUUUCCUUUCCCUGUUUCUUUUCCAUAAUUAGCCUAUACAAUUCUGCUCCCCUUCUUCUAUAACCCACCUUACUGCCCCCUGACAUUGCCUUGAACUUGGAGUCAAACCCAAUGACUUCUCCUUCCAUUGGUGAACCCAAGGCCAUCCUUUGCAACAUAUGCAGUUGGAGCCAUAGUUCUUUCCAUGUCCAGUCUUUGAAUAUUGGUUUAUUACCAGAAAUCUCUGUUGCAUUUGCAUUGUUGUUCUUAUGGUGUUGAAAGCACCUUUAGCUCUUUUAAUCCUUUUUCAAACCCUACCAACAAGAUGUCAAUUUUCAGUUCACUGGCAGCAUAGACUCCUUAGCUUCAUCACUCUUAUCUACAUCUGGUUGCUGAAUGUGUGUGUGUGUGUGUGUGUGUGCGUGCGUGUGUGUGUGUGUGUGUGUGUUUCUGUGUCUGUAGAGCUAAACAAUGAAUUCUCAAAUGAGGAAUAUCAACAUCCUUUGCCAUCAGGUAAAUGGAAAUAAAGAAAAAAAAUCCUGAGUUUCCACAGCACACCAAUCAGAAUGACGAGGAUAUAUUUGGUCCCUUGUACAGCUAUGGUGUUUGGUGGAUUUUUAACAUGGAUUCUGCACUACUAGGUUAAGAUUUUAGAAUCCACAAAUGACAAAGCCAUAUAGACUCCUUCCUAUUCUUAUGAACCUACUGAAGUAGAAGAUUCACUGGACUUCAAGCCACUCCUCUCCCAGCCCAUGUCAUGAACUUUAUGUUUGGACUGAAUAAAGAAUCAUGGUAAAACAUCCAAAACCCUCAAAUCUGGCCAUGGAAACACUGGAAGGUAGAUAUUAGAGAACUGCUAUCUAAUGCCACUGCAGAACCACAUUAUAUAGUCUAUGUUGUCCUUUCCUUUACUAAUGUCAGGUAAUUUUUGGAUAAAAUAAGGAUUUAGGAGUUUAUCAUUUAAGUAGAUACAGAAUAUUUACACUAUUAUAUUCACUUUAGAACUGGGCCCCCUUUUUUCUAAAAUCAGAGCAAAAAAAUGGAAUAGGAUAAUAGAACAUUGGAGUACACAUUCAGCAAUAUAUAUAAAGUCCACUAUCAAGGAAUGUACAAUAAGAAAAUGUAAUAAAAUAUUCACUCAAUUAAAGGUCUGUAGGGAAAAUAUUGGCCUUUAGAAAAGAGAGAUAUCUGAGGAAAUUGAACUAUAGGCCAGAGGAAUGGAACUGGGAAUAAAAUUAUUAUCCAGUAGAAUCUCCUGCACUCCAUAUUCCUAGAUCUUAGAGACCCAAGCCAUGCCUCUGGCUAACUUUCCCCAUUCAGAGCAUGUGACCAUUAGUGGAGCAGAGAUAAGUCUCUACCUUAAGAGAGAUUGAGUACAUAAAGGUUUCCAGUGUGUCACAGGAGACAUACCUGGAAAGGACACCUUCGAAUCUGGUAAAUGUAAGGAAAGCUGUUUAGCAUGUAGGAGAUGGCCGUUCUCAGUGACAUCAUAAAUAGGACCUCCGUGACAAAUUUGUUGUAACUAGGAGAGCCCUAGCUUCUUCUGUGAUGUAACAAUUACUGUCCUGACAGGAACUGCCUCUCACAUAUUCCCUCAGUAACUCUCCGGUUUGCUAAUUGGCCACUAAUUCAGAGUAAACAGCCAUUUGGGAGUGAGAACAAAAAGGAUAAAGAGAUCAGAGAUGGGGAGAAAGAAGCUGACCUUCUGUCCUUGUAUGAAAAAAAAAGGAAAAAUAAGUGGUACUUUGAAAAGUUCAGGGAGCCCUUGGAAGGGUUGGAGUGGUAUCACUGAAGAGAUAGACUUGAUCUGAGACUUACACAUAUGGGAAUCAAGAGCUGGAAGCUUCACAGAAGCAUCUGGACUUCCCUGUUCUUAUGGUUCCUGGAUGUCAAAGAAGAAAAAGGUCCUAAGGAAGGAGGUAAAGACAAGUAUUGGGUCCUCAGGUCAGAGUAAACUCCUCCAAGCUUUGGAUACCUAUAGUGCAUUUUGUGUCUGACACGGAUAUCUCGGAGAAAGAAGUGCUUCUAGUUGAGACUUCAUCAUCUUUGUCUUACUACAAGUAUUACUCUGAAUACCAAUUUAGAUUUCUGAGUAAAUAACUGUGAUUAGUU